RNAcentral lists this long non-coding RNA (857 nucleotides) under Eucalyptus grandis. Its description in RNAcentral is "long non-coding RNA (EGRA_LNC006248)". Lineage: Eukaryota; Viridiplantae; Streptophyta; Magnoliopsida; Myrtales; Myrtaceae. The record is from RNAcentral.
AACCGGGCAAGCUUUUUCGAUAAAGACCGUUAGCCAUCAUCUCGUUGCUGCUUAUCUCCAUCAAAGUCAUCGUUUCUCUGGAAAAUCGAAUGUGCCCCACGUUACUUCAGCUGAAUUCCAGCAAUAAACGGUGGGUUCUGCUUUGCCACCUGAAUUUUGUGCCCUUCUCUUUCAACUUGGAAAGCAACGGGUAGAAAUCUGAGAACUGGCAUGAGUGAACCUGAUCUUCGUCCAAUUUCGAAACUCCCUUCUAGGGCAAAGCAGUGCUGGAGAUAGGUGUGUUCAUUUUAAGUAUCUUUGCCUGGAUUAUCCACAGUUGUGAGAAUAUGAUCUUUCAAAUAUUCGGGGAAAGUCGCUGGUGAUGAAGAAGACUACACCUCUGUGAACAGGGUUUUCGUGGACCGCAUAGCUCACUUCCUCUUGAUUUGGUGAAUCUGGAAUUUCACUCCCUCGCAGACUGGGAACGCAUAAAUUCCUCAAAGAAACCUGCAAAAUAUCAAACUGUCAUGACUGCUAUAUAAACGAGCAUUACAAUUUACAAUUGACUGCUAUGCCCGCAUGCAUGAUUCGCCACUUUUUCGUGCAAUGAGGUUUUGACGCUUAAAAUUUUCCUUUUCCAGUGGUUUCGGACUUGUGGAUGCAUUCUUUUGUUCUCUUUUUGAGAGAGAGAACCUUAGAAAUUAUCGUCUUAACUACCGAAGAACACUAGUGGCAUCCAGUCAGGUAUAGCCUUCUCAAGGAUUUCAAGCACUGGAGUCCUGGAGCAUCCCCUGCUUUCUCGCAAUUCACCGUGUUCAGCUCCUCCAAGUUCUCCAAUUCAGACAGAUCAGAGACCGUCUCCGUUGCCAUGCAGUCUG